GGUGGUGCAGUGGUUAAGCACUUGGCUGCUAACCAAAAGGUCGGUGGUUUGAACCCACCAUCCA
This is a non-coding RNA of Loxodonta africana (African savanna elephant), 64 nucleotides long. The record is from Rfam. Lineage: Eukaryota; Metazoa; Chordata; Mammalia; Proboscidea; Elephantidae.